Molecule: ribosomal RNA, 578 nt
Filed under: uncultured bacterium
Lineage: Bacteria
Description: bacterial SSU rRNA
Rfam family: Bacterial small subunit ribosomal RNA
Source: RNAcentral
GAGUUUGAUCCUGGCUCAGAGUGAACGCUGGCGGCGUGCCUAACACAUGCAAGUCGAACGAGAACGGGAUUAAGUUUACUUAAUUUGUCAGCUAAGUGGCGCACGGGUGAGUAAUGUAUAGUUAACCUGCCCUCAAGAAAGGAAUAACAGUUGGAAACGACUGCUAAUGCCCUAUAUGCCCUUAAUACAUAAGUAUGCAGGGGAAACGCUUUUGUGCUUGAGGAUGGGACUGUAUGGUAUCAGUUAGUUGGUGAGGUAAUGGCUCACCAAGACUAUGACGCCUAACUGGUUUGAGAGGAUGAUCAGUCACACUGGAACUGAGACACGGUCCAGACUCCUACGGGAGGCAGCAGUGGGGAAUAUUGCACAAUGGGGGGAACCCUGAUGCAGCCAUGCCGCGUGUGUGAAGAAGGCCUUCGGGUUGUAAAGCACUUUCAGUUGUGAGGAAAGGUUAGUAGUUAAUACCUGCUAGCUGUGACGUUAGCAACAGAAGAAGCACCGGCUAACUCCGUGCCAGCAGCCGCGGUAAUACGGAGGGUGCGAGCGUUAAUCGGAAUUACUGGGCGUAAAGCGCACGC